Molecule: transfer RNA, 73 nt
Organism: Felis catus (domestic cat)
Lineage: Eukaryota; Metazoa; Chordata; Mammalia; Carnivora; Felidae
Rfam family: tRNA
About the family: Transfer RNA (tRNA) molecules are approximately 80 nucleotides in length.
Source: Rfam
ACCUGGCUGGCUCAGUUGGUGGAGCAUGGGACUCUUGAUCUUGGGGUUGUGAGUUCGAGCCUCACAUUGGGUG